CACUCCUCUAUACAGCUGUCUGGACAGACUGAUACUAUAGGCGACAAUCGCACUCCUCUAUACAGCUGUCUGGACAGACUGAUACUAUAGGCGACAAUCGCACUCCUCUAUACAGCUGUCUGGACAGACUGAUACUAUAGGUGACAAUCACACUCUUCUAUACAGCUGUCUGGACAGACUGAUACUAUAGAUGACAAUCACACUCCUCUAUACAGCUGUCUGGACAGACUGAUACUGUAGGUGACAAUCACACUCCUCUAUACAGCUGUCUGGACAGACUGAUACUAUAGGUGACAAUCACACUCCUCUAUACAGCUGUCUGGACAGACUGAUACUAUAGGUGACAAUCACACUCCUCUAUACAGCCGUCUGGACAGACUGAUACUGUAGGUGACAAUCACACUCCUCUAUACAGCUGUCUGGACAGACUGAUACUGUAGGUGACAAUCACACUCCUCUAUACAGCUGUCUGGACAGACUGAUACUAUAGGUGACAAUCACACUCCUCUAUACAGCUGUCUGGAGAGACUGAUACUAUAGGUGACAAUCACACUCCUCUAUACAGCUGUCUGGACAGACUGACACUAUCAGUGAGACACACACUCUCCACUACCCUUUUUCACACACACACACACACACACACAGU
Long non-coding RNA from Oncorhynchus keta (chum salmon), 646 nucleotides. RefSeq lists it as uncharacterized. NCBI's taxonomy places the organism in Eukaryota, Metazoa, Chordata, Actinopteri, Salmoniformes, Salmonidae. The transcript has 4 exons. The record is from RefSeq and is a predicted model, not a curated record.